Molecule: ribosomal RNA, 1007 nt
Filed under: Arthrobacter sp. TSBY-54
Lineage: Bacteria; Bacillati; Actinomycetota; Actinomycetes; Micrococcales; Micrococcaceae
Description: bacterial SSU rRNA
Rfam family: Bacterial small subunit ribosomal RNA
Source: RNAcentral
UUAACACAUGCAAGUCGAACGAUGAACCUCGCUUGCGGGGGGAUUAGUGGCGAACGGGUGAGUAACACGUGAGUAACCUGCCCUUAACUCUGGGAUAAGCCUUGGAAACGGGGUCUAAUACUGGAUAUUGACUUUUCCUCGCAUGGGGAUUGGUUGAAAGAUUUAUUGGUUUUGGAUGGACUCGCGGCCUAUCAGCUUGUUGGUGAGGUAAUGGCUCACCAAGGCGACGACGGGUAGCCGGCCUGAGAGGGUGACCGGCCACACUGGGACUGAGACACGGCCCAGACUCCUACGGGAGGCAGCAGUGGGGAAUAUUGCACAAUGGGCGAAAGCCUGAUGCAGCGACGCCGCGUGAGGGAUGACGGCCUUCGGGUUGUAAACCUCUUUCAGUAGGGAACAAGGCCAGUGUUUAGCUGGUUGAGGGUACUUGCAGAAGAAGCGCCGGCUAACUACGUGCCAGCAGCCGCGGUAAUACGUAGGGCGCAAGCGUUAUCCGGAAUUAUUGGGCGUAAAGAGCUCGUAGGCGGUUUGUCGCGUCUGCCGUGAAAGUCCGGGGCUCAACCCCGGAUCUGCGGUGGGUACGGGCAGACUAGAGUGAUGUAGGGGAGACUGGAAUUCCUGGUGUAGCGGUGAAAUGCGCAGAUAUCAGGAGGAACACCGAUGGCGAAGGCAGGUCUCUGGGCAUUAACUGACGCUGAGGAGCGAAAGCAUGGGGAGCGAACAGGAUUAGAUACCCUGGUAGUCCAUGCCGUAAACGUUGGGCACUAGGUGUGGGGGACAUUCCACGUUUUCCGCGCCGUAGCUACGCAUUAGUGCCCGCCUGGGGAGUACGCGCAGCUAAACUCAAGAUGACGGGGCCGCACAGCGGCGAGCAUGCGAUAUCGAUGCAUCGCGAGAUCUACUAGGCUGACAUGACUGAUCGCUGGAACAUGGCCGCUGCGUCGAUAAGGUGGGCAUGGUUGCGUCACGUCUGGUCCUGGAAUGUGUUAGUUCCCGAACGAGGCACU